CCCAUUCUUUAGAUUUUCUUUUUUUUGGACUUAGAAGAGUCCAACUGUAAAAUCCAAAGCUUUCAUUUUCCCUCUAGCCAAAUAUCCUAUAAAUCAAACUUGCCAUCGAGUUAGGAAUUGAAAUCUUGAUUUGAUUUUAAUGUCAAUAUCUUGACACGUUCUAGCAAUAAAUUUGAGACCAUGGACAAACCGAGUUCUUCUUAAGGGUUGUUUGAAAAUAUACUAAACCUCAAAGUACAAUGCAUUUUAUCUACUUCAAAAUUGGGUUAGAUUCUCUUAAUGACCAAAGAGUCUUUUAAUGAGCGUUAGUGUUUCAUGAAUCUACUUCAAAAUUGGGUUAAAUUCAUGAGACACAUGUUUCAAGUGUUGUUUGGUGAAUCUACUCAAAUUUAAAAAAAUUCCUUGUACUACCAUCUUUAAUUUGUUUCAUGAGUGAUGAGUCACACAACUCUUGUCAUUCCUUCCUGCCACCUUGUACACCAAAUUGGCCGGCCAGGCCGCCCGUCAGUUGAUUGGUUGCGAAUUGAUUAAAAAUAUUAAAAAAUAAAAAUAGUUAAAUAAAACUUCAAAAUAUAUUUAAAAGUAAUUAAAAGUCUCAACAAUAUACAACAAACGCACACCUUCAACAAUAUAAAAGAUGGGUAGUUGGGAUCGCCAAAUAUUCUAUUUUUUUUUAUAAAUUUAAAUGAUUUAAUAAUUCAUUUAAUAUAACAAAGUUUAUAAAUCAUACACAAAAUCAAAUAUAAUUUCUUAUUUAAAUUAUAAAAUACAAGAGGGGCUAAUAUCUUAUUUAAAUUAAAAAAUAGUUUAAAAUAUUUUACACUGAUUUAAAAAUAAAAAAAUGGAGGGAAUCGGCUGAUACACACUGAUUCAACCAACAAGGAUUACUAACAAUAACUUAAGGGGCACGUUUGAUGAGCAUGAAAUAUCAUACAGCACCCGAACUAAAACUUAAAUUUUGAAAAUUUUUUUAUCACCUUCUCAUUUUUAUGUUAAAUGUUUAGAAAAAAAUUAAUUGUUUUUGUGAGUAAGCGAGACUUCGUGCAAAAGUUGGGGGUAUCAUUGUGGUGUUUGAAAAUUUGAGCGGCUGUGGGCGCCUAUUUAUAAUUUUUUCAAAGUAAGAAUGAAAAGGGGUCACAAUAAAUCAAGAAGUUCAAGAAACACUUCUCAACGGCCAUUCUGUUACGAGGGCUUUCUUUUUCCCGCCGAGUUCCCGGAAAGAAAGCACCCUCUCCUUCUCUCUCGAUGGGAGGAGUUUGGAUCUUCGAUGGCGCGACGAUGGAGGAGGCUGGAUCCUCGAUGGUGCGACGAUGGAGGAGGAUGCAGAUUGCAUCGGUGGGUUGCCGCAGUUCAUCCUUCCAAAUUACGAGCAGCAGCUCCUAUCCAUCAUCCUUCCGCUGGUCGAUCUUUAUGAUCAUUACUUGGAAGGGAAGGGGAGGGGGGGCAUCUAAAAGGUCGAGAGACAGAGUAGCGAAGUGGAGAAGAGUUCGAUCGGCCUCGUCCCUCGCUCGUCGAUCCAUCGAUUCGCGAUUUCACUAUUUAGUGAUCGAUCGAUCGGUCCGUCUCCUUCGCUUUGGAUUACGUGUUCGACGAGACUUGCACGAACUUGAGCGUUUAUGAGCAUCACACGAAGGAUGUCAUCCAAGCGGCAGUCAAGGGAUUCGAUGUGGACUUGAUUGUUUGAAGCUUUCAACAAAUUGUGGGCAGAUCUCGAAGAGGCUGGUCUUGCUGUGAAGAAGGAAUCAUCUACAUCAAGACUACCAAGAUGACAGUGUGGUGGGGAGGUCAUAGAGCCACUCGUCGGUAAGCAGUGGUAUGUAGUCAUGGGGCCUUAGUGCACUGGAAAACGGGGAUAUAUCUAUCAUUCUUGAGAGGUUUGAAAAGUUCACAAUGGCGAUCGAGGGCGGCGACGAUCGCAUCAAGAGGAUCUCGACGGCGAUCCGUGUGAUCCCAAAUUUUCCCCAAGCCCGGUAUCUCUCUCUCUUUCUCUUGAGCUCGGCUUCUUGAUUACUU
Long non-coding RNA from Nymphaea colorata (pocket water lily), 2013 nucleotides. RefSeq lists it as uncharacterized. Lineage: Eukaryota; Viridiplantae; Streptophyta; Magnoliopsida; Nymphaeales; Nymphaeaceae. The record is from RefSeq and is a predicted model, not a curated record. The transcript is spliced from 6 exons.